AUUGAACGCUGGCGGCAGGCCUAACACAUGCGAGUCGAGCGGAUGAAGGGAGCUUGCUCCUGGAUUCAGCGGCGGACGGGUGAGUAAUGCCUAGGAAUCUGCCUGGUAGUGGGGGAUAACGUCCGGAAACGGGCGCUAAUACCGCAUACGUCCUGAGGGAGAAAGUGGGGGAUCUUCGGACCUCACGCUAUCAGAUGAGCCUAGGUCGGAUUAGCUAGUUGGUGGGGUAAAGGCCUACCAAGGCGACGAUCCGUAACUGGUCUGAGAGGAUGAUCAGUCACACGGGAACUGAGAAACGGUCCAGACUCCUACGGAGGGCAGCGGGGGGAAAUAUUGAACAUGGGGGGAAGGCUUGUCCAAGCCAGGCGGCGUGGGUGAAGAAGGUCUUCGGAUUGUAAGCACUUUAAGUUGGGAGGAAGGGCAGUAAGUUAAUACCUUGCUGUUUUGACGUUACCAACAGAAUAAGCACCGGCUAACUUCGUG
RNAcentral lists this ribosomal RNA (483 nucleotides) under uncultured bacterium. RNAcentral's name for it is "partial 16S ribosomal RNA". It matches the Rfam family "Bacterial small subunit ribosomal RNA", at positions 30 to 507 of the family's 1533-position model. The record is from RNAcentral.